CCGCCCAGCAGCGCCCGGACGCUCUCUGCCCGCGGGGGGCCAGGAGGAUCCGGCGGCCGCAGCGGCGCCAGAGAGCGCGCACGGCGAGGGGCAUACUUCUGUUACUGUUCGAUGAUUGUGAGGCGUCGAUAACAGGAUACAUCCUCACUGGG
Molecule: non-coding RNA, 152 nt
Organism: Caretta caretta (loggerhead turtle)
Lineage: Eukaryota; Metazoa; Chordata; Testudines; Cheloniidae
Source: RefSeq, a predicted model, not a curated record